UAGAAAGCGGCAAAACAACAACGACGUGUGUAUUAUUUACAACAUACCUCCAGCAAUAUUAGGUGCCUGUGUGCAGUAUUGGUUAUCCCACAUGGAGGCAACCAAUUCUCUAAGCUGAUGUGUCUAACUUCUCAGUAUUCACAAGUGGCGGAGCUGUGCAAACAUGUCCUUGGAGGGUUCAACAUUGACUGAUACAGGGGGUUAUCCCACAUGGAGCCAACCAAUUCUCUAAGCUGAUGUGUCUAACUUCUCAGUAUUCACAAGUGGCGGAGCUGUGCAAACAUGUCCUUGGAGGGUUCAACAUUGACUGAUACAGGGGAAGAGAAGCUGCACUCAGCACAGACAAGCCUCUCUGAGACGCACACACCCCGAGGCACCUCGCUGUCCAGAUCCCCGUUCAGCCCUUUAGGACAGUUUGGAGUCGUGGUCGAGUGGUAGGCAGAUGCGGUAUUCCACAGCUCGGCGGUCUUUCCCAGGUGCAGCAGUCUGUGUGCCAGAAAGCGGCAGAUGGUCGUGAAUUUUUCCCAAGCUUUGCCCGGUUUAGCACUGGCUGCCAUCGUUGGCCUGGGCCUUCAUACCCGAGGGGGUUAGCACGCCAGCACAGCGCUAUGAACCCAGGAACCUCUCACCAAUGUCGUUGCUCAGAUUGACAACUACAUUUUUUCUGAAGUGGUGGAACAGUUUACACUGUCGUCAUUGUCUUCAUGUUAACAGCAGGAAGAUUCAUUUGGGCUCCAUACAACAUGGAACUUCAAGCAAAAUGCAGGCCAACAUUCCAAGACCUCAUACAGAAAUGCGUCCUACACCUUUCACAGACAUAAAUGCACUGUGCAGUGAUGCUCGAAUGACCAUGCUCUGGAACGUCUAAAUAUGGAGAAGAGUAUCCCUGUGGCUUCUUUGUUUCAAUAUAAAUUUAUUUUAAAUAUUCAGGAAAGUACACAUUGUUAGCAUGGUGCAAAGUCAGCAUAUUUUGCAUUAUUACGAUCAUGUUUGUUGGUUCCUUCAUUGAGAAGGAAGAGUGCAAGUAUCUUUCCAAAACAUUAAUAAAUUGUAGAACAAUAUUUUUGUAAUAAUCAGCUCAUUACAUAUCAGUCUCGCUGAUAGUAUGAGUACCAUAAUGCAGAAAUUGCAAAGCUCUUGCACACUUGUUAAAGUGCAGGGAGAAAGUGAUAAUAUUUAAUUUGUGUAAUUCAUAUUACACAUAGGUGAACGACUUAAAAUUUUACCCAAAAGCUCAUUUUUAGAGGCAAAUAAACGUUGUCAGAUAUUAUUUUUGGUGUGAUAACUUACUUAUUCCUUUAGGAUAUCGUCCUACCUUCCAAACAAACCGCCAAGCACCCUUCUAACAUUAAUAUAACUCUCGGAAACAACACAAUGUACAACUUUUGUGAUGGUCCAAAUUUUAGGUCAUACACCGUAAAUUUCAAAAGUACUUUAACUGCCUUAUCGGUGUUCAAAUGUUCAAAUAAUAUUUCUUUGUCCAUGUUCAUUUGUAAUAUUUUUGGGUUAAAUAAGUAUAAAUAAAUGGUUG
Molecule: long non-coding RNA, 1531 nt
Organism: Liolophura sinensis
Lineage: Eukaryota; Metazoa; Mollusca; Polyplacophora; Chitonida; Chitonidae
Exons: 7
Source: RefSeq, a predicted model, not a curated record